UACGUAGGGAGCAAGCGUUGUCCGGAAUCAUUGGGCGUAAAGCGCGCGUAGGCGGCCCGGUAAGUCGGAUGUGAAAUCUCACGGCUCAACCGUGGAACUGCAUUCGAAACUGUCGGGCUAGAGGCAGGUAGGGGAGAUCGGAAUUCCCGGUGUAGCGGUGAAAUGCGCAGAUAUCGGGAGGAACACCGGUGGCGAAGGCGGAUCUCUGGGCCUGUCCUGACGCUCAGGCGCGAAAGCUAGGGGAGCGAACAGG
RNAcentral lists this ribosomal RNA (253 nucleotides) under uncultured bacterium. RNAcentral describes it as "partial 16S ribosomal RNA". It matches the Rfam family "Bacterial small subunit ribosomal RNA", at positions 524 to 776 of the family's 1533-position model. The record is from RNAcentral.